Molecule: ribosomal RNA, 592 nt
Filed under: uncultured fungus
Lineage: Eukaryota; Fungi
Description: eukaryotic LSU rRNA
Rfam family: 5.8S ribosomal RNA (bases 231-384)
Source: RNAcentral
GUCUCCGUAGGUGAACCUGCGGAGGGAUCAUUACACAAUAUGAAGGCGGGCUGGACACCCUCCAGCCGGGCACUGCUUCACGGCGUGCGCGGCUGGAGCCGGCCCUGCUGAAUUAUUCACCCGUGUCUUUUGCGUACUUCUUGUUUCCUGGGUGGGCUCGCCCGCCAUCAGGACCAACCAUAAACCUUUUUGUAAUAGCAAUCAGCGUCAGUAACAACGUAAUUAAUUACAACUUUCAACAACGGAUCUCUUGGUUCUGGCAUCGAUGAAGAACGCAGCGAAAUGCGAUACGUAGUGUGAAUUGCAGAAUUCAGUGAAUCAUCGAAUCUUUGAACGCACAUUGCGCCCUUUGGUAUUCCAAAGGGCAUGCCUGUUCGAGCGUCAUUUGUACCCUCAAGCUUUGCUUGGUGUUGGGCGUCUUUUGUCUCCAGCUCGCUGGAGACUCGCCUUAAAGUCAUUGGCAGCCGGCCUACUGGUUUCGGAGCGCAGCACAAGUCGCGCUCUUGCCCAGCCAAGGUCAGCGUCCAGCAAGCCUUUUUUCAACCUUUGACCACGGAUCAGGUAGGGAUACCCGCUGAACUUAAGCAUAUCA